This 21-nucleotide microRNA is filed under the name Oryza sativa (Asian cultivated rice). RNAcentral describes it as "osa-miR171f-5p". Its record names the gene osa-miR171f-5p. RNAcentral also lists the same sequence under 1 other name. Lineage: Eukaryota; Viridiplantae; Streptophyta; Magnoliopsida; Poales; Poaceae. The record is from miRBase by way of RNAcentral.
UGUUGGCAUGGUUCAAUCAAA